AACGAACGCUGGCGGCAGGCCUAACACAUGCAAGUCGAGCGCCCCGCAAGGGGAGCGGCGGACGGGUGAGUAACGCGUGGGAAUUUUCCUCAAGGUACGGAACAACUCAGGGAAACUUGGGCUAAUACCGUAUGAUGUCUAGCGACCAAAGAUUUAUCGCCUUGGGAUAAGCCCGCGUCAGAUUAGGUAGUUGGUGGGGUAACGGCCUACCAAGCCUGCGAUCUGUAGCUGGUCUGUGAGGACGAUCAGCCACAUUGGGACUGAGACACGGCCCAA
Molecule: ribosomal RNA, 276 nt
Filed under: uncultured bacterium
Lineage: Bacteria
Description: partial 16S ribosomal RNA
Rfam family: Bacterial small subunit ribosomal RNA
Source: RNAcentral